UGGAUAUAAGCAGCAGCACCUCUUCGUCUCAUCGCCUGAGUGUUUGCUUACCUCGAUUAUCCUGCCGCCUCCUCGCUGCUCUGGUGUGAUCCAUCGUUGCUGGGUUCUGAGUGAGUGUGCCUUUUCCCCUCGUGGAUCAUCUACCUCCUGUGUGUUUCCCUGACGCUGUGGGUAUUACCGGCCAGACGCCACUCCUCGUGUGUACCUACCUCCUGUGUCCUCCCUCGACGCUGUCGGUGUUACCGGUCAGACGCCACUCCUCGUUUGUGUGUGCGUCCUUCCUCCUUCAUUGAUCCAUCUCCGGCGGAUUCCCCUUCGGGACGCCACGGGUCUGGAGACCCACGCCCGAACCCACCGGAGAACUACCACUGACGGACCAAGUUCCAAGCCGUCCUCUCAGUGGAACUACCUGACCGCUCUCCUACGAGUUUCACUACCUACGCUCCACUCCGUCCACAUCACCUACCUUCCAAUAAGACGACCCGGUCCGCUGAUCCAGUAUUCACUACCUGCUUCCUGUUCUUUCAAUAAACCAUAAUUGUAUUUUACUCGCCUGUCUGGUUGUGUUCUUGCAUGCGGGUCCGAAAGCUAAGUCCCAACAUGACAUCAGCACUUUUACCGUCACAGUUACCGUUCAGAAACUACCGUAUGUCAGGGUCUGUGUUUUUCCCUUUUUUUGUUUCUUGGUUUAUUUCCUUUAGUUGUUCUUAUCAUUGGUCUCUGAGCCGCUAUUCCCCGGACACCCACGAGAUGUCACCCAUGUGCCACCCCUGGAAAGCAGCGGGGUUCAACCUGGGCGCACACCUGCAGCUCGUUGAGAGGGCGUUAGCCCUGGAUAUAAGCAGCAGCGUCACUCCUCAUCGCCUGAGUGUUUGCUUACCUUGGUACAGACCGUUCCAGAGAGAGGCCCUCUGUGAUCUUCGUUGUUCUAACUUCUUGUUGUCUCCCUCGUCAGGUUAUCCAGCUGUCUCCUCGUUGUUCCCUAGCGACCAGUUCCCCUGCGUUGUGUGUGAGUCUGUCUUCCCGCUGUGGAUCGCCUACCCCUGUGUCUCUCCCCGACGCUACCGGUGUUACCGGUUAGACGCCACUCCUCGUGUGUUCGCCUUCCCCUCCUCGUGGAUCCUUCUCCGGCGGAUUCCCCUUCGGAGCGCUCCGGGUCAGGAGACCCACCUCCGAACCUCACCGGAGAAAAAGGAAAUCAUUACACCGGAACCUACGCCGUUUCCCCGAUCGUUGGCUUUCACUGCCCGCUCUCCAACGAGUUCAAGCUCAAACCAAUCCAAGCCGAUCACCCACCAUUCUCAAGUAAGCCCUCUCGGAUUAUUUCCGGAUAAUCACUUCCACGCMGUUUCUAACCUUGUGCCUUCUCAUCGGCAGUAAGACGACCUGGUCCUCUACUCCAGUAUUCAUCCCCUGAGUCCAAUAAAUCAUUAUUGUACUUUACCUCGUCUCUUCUGGUCGUGUUCUUGCAUGUGGGUCCGAAGGUUUAGUGCCAACAUGACACCGUAAUCAGUUCAGUUAAAUCUAAACUUGGCAACUUGUCUUUUUCAACCGUAAUAAAUGUGAUAUUCAAUUAACCUGUUAUGACUCAAAUUUUGGGCGUCCGUCCGUCCCCCUCUGCAACUGCUGCAUCGUUGUGGAAAACCUGGCGCAGCAGAGAUAUCUGCGGCUUAUAGUCUGGUGCGGUUUAUAUGUGUGUGUUUACUGGUUUUUUUUAAAAAAAAACUUUGGGGUUCCUGCUUAUAGUCAGGAAAAUAAGGUAUUUAUUUAAUAGUGUUGUUUCCUGG
Molecule: non-coding RNA, 1787 nt
Organism: Poecilia reticulata (guppy)
Lineage: Eukaryota; Metazoa; Chordata; Actinopteri; Cyprinodontiformes; Poeciliidae
Source: RefSeq, a predicted model, not a curated record